Chiroxiphia lanceolata (lance-tailed manakin) is the source of this 102-nucleotide long non-coding RNA. RefSeq lists it as uncharacterized. The transcript is spliced from 4 exons. NCBI's taxonomy places the organism in Eukaryota, Metazoa, Chordata, Aves, Passeriformes, Pipridae. The record is from RefSeq and is a predicted model, not a curated record.
CAUGUUCAGAGUUGUACAGUCCAACCAUUAUUGCUCUUUUUUUUCUGAUAUCAGCCUAUGCAAUUGGCUGAUUUACAGCCCUUGGAUUCUGCUGAACUAUGC